UCCCUUCACCCGGAGUUCCUUCAUUGGAUGGGGCGUCAAUAGGGCUCGAAUAGUAGUAACAAUUGGGCCCUGCAUCCCACAAACAACAAUUUGAUCUCCUUCAUGCAACACACCAUUAACCAAUAUGACAUCAAUAGUUGUUCCAUGGCCUUCAACAACCUUGACCUCCAAGACCGUGCACUGCACUUCAUCACUAUAUGUAAGUUUCUUCGUCAUAGUUCUCUGGGCCCACUGCACCAAUAAUAGUAACAUGUCUGGAAUACCUUCACCAG
RNAcentral lists this unclassified non-coding RNA (272 nucleotides) under Hevea brasiliensis (rubber tree). Lineage: Eukaryota; Viridiplantae; Streptophyta; Magnoliopsida; Malpighiales; Euphorbiaceae. The record is from RNAcentral.